GGAGAGGUGGCCGAGCGGUCGAAGGCGCUCGCCUGGAGAGCGAGUAAGCGGCUACAAAACCGCUUCGUGGGUUCAAAUCCCACCCUCUCCG
RNAcentral lists this transfer RNA (91 nucleotides) under Acetomicrobium flavidum. RNAcentral's name for it is "tRNA_Ser_GGA". It matches the Rfam family "tRNA". From Rfam's summary of the family: Transfer RNA (tRNA) molecules are approximately 80 nucleotides in length. RNAcentral also lists the same sequence under 1 other name. Lineage: Bacteria; Thermotogati; Synergistota; Synergistia; Synergistales; Acetomicrobiaceae. The record is from RNAcentral.